RNAcentral lists this unclassified non-coding RNA (1083 nucleotides) under Hevea brasiliensis (rubber tree). The record is from RNAcentral. Lineage: Eukaryota; Viridiplantae; Streptophyta; Magnoliopsida; Malpighiales; Euphorbiaceae.
AAAAAAGGAAAUGAAAAAAAAAAAAAAAAAACAAACGUUCGCUGAAUCAAAGAAUAACUCUAGUUUUCAACUAAAAAACCUGAAACUACUUAUCUAGAUCAUAUUAUAAUUUACGAGUUUGAAUGAAGUGAAUCAAAGAAUAACCAUUCUCUUUUGUUUUUCACUAUUUUUAUUUUCUUUUUAUGUUAAGGGACAAAAGAAAACCUGGUUCAACAAAUAUGAAAGAACAACAUAUUUUCAUUUCUCUUAUUCAACAAUGUGUUACACACUUAUUAUCUCUGAAUUAAGAAAGACCAACAGAAAUUACAAAUCUCUUAAGAGAAGAGAAGGUGGGGGCCAGAGUUUUGUUUGGCACUUUGUUAGAUGCAGAAUGAAUCAGGGCCACCAAUAGUGUUCCCAUAAACAAUGGUAACAAUAGAAGUCAAGAGUGCAUAUAACAAAACAAUUGAAUUAAAGCAUUGUGACUUGUGAGGCAUUUACUGCUAUUUGAUUUUCAGAAGCAGGUUUCCAAUGAAAUUUCUCUCAUCAAGAUCCAGAACAAAACAAUUGGACUGCAUAUAAGUAGUCAAUUAUUUUCAUGAAAGGCAGUGACUACCUUUAAUGGGGGUAAUUUGCCUUUAUCUUAUAUUGCAGUUUAUCUACCUUCACAAAAGUCUAAAUACUUACAAGGAGAAAAAAAGGGAAUGAUCUUGUGCAGUAAUCUCGAUGUUGAAAAGUUGUGAACAACUUGGGGAGCAUACAAAUUGCUAUUUAUUCAAUCAAUAGUCAGCAUCUGACUUUUAAACCAGAUAAGUAUGUUACAAGCCAGUUUUGCAUUGAUGUCUAACUAGCUGUUCAUAAAAGCAGCACCUUAAAUACAUUAAUUCUGCCAUUAAAAUUAAUUUUAAGUGAAUUUUGAUAUGUUUUAGUCAUAAAAAUUUAAAAACAGCCAAACAACAUUUUCAAACUGCUUUUUCAGCAACAUCUAAAGGAUGCUUUUUCAAAAAGCAGCUUCCGCUGCUUUGAAACUCAAUGCUAAAUUGGCCCUAUAUCUCCUCUUUCUCAUGCACCACCCCUCCCACACCCACCUCCAACACAACAAAC